Molecule: ribosomal RNA, 484 nt
Filed under: uncultured bacterium
Lineage: Bacteria
Description: partial 16S ribosomal RNA
Rfam family: Bacterial small subunit ribosomal RNA
Source: RNAcentral
AUUGAACGCUGGCGGCAGGCCUAACACAUGCAAGUCGAGCGGAUGAAGGGAGCUUGCUCCUGGAUUCAGCGGCGGACGGGUGAGUAAUGCCUAGGAAUCUGCCUGGUAGUGGGGGAUAACGUCCGGAAACGGGCGCUAAUACCGCAUACGUCCUGAGGGAGAAAGUGGGGGAUCUUCGGACCUCACGCUAUCAGAUGAGCCUAGGUCGGAUUAGCUAGUUGGUGGGGUAAAGGCCUACCAAGGCGACGAUCCGUAACUGGUCUGAGAGGAUGAUCAGUCACACUGGAACUGAGACACGGUCCAGACUCCUACGGGAGGCAGCAGUGGGGAAUAUUGGACAAUGGGCGAAAACCUGAUCCAGCCAUGCCGCGUGUGUGAAGAAGGUCUUCGGAUUGUAAAGCACUUUAAGUUGGGAGGAAGGGCAGUAAGUUAAUACCUUGCUGUUUUGACGUUACCAACAGAAUAAGCACCGGCUAACUUCGUG